AAAUGAUUCCACUCCAUUUGGGGCAUCGAUUCGAGGGAGGGAAUGGAGCAGAAAACUACAAAAAUGAGGGACUUUUUGGAGAUAAUUGAGAUUUCAAACAACCGGGCUCACAUGGUGCUACAAAGAGAUUGCAUUUCCUUUGCUGAUUAGGAGAUUGGAGUCCUACAAGUAAUAGGAAACAAAACAAGAAGGAAAGCCUCGGUUGGUGCAGGAAGCUUUGGGAGGACUUUUGCUCUCAAUUGUGCGGGAAUCACGGAGAAAAGAAAGGCAUUAGUCUAUUAUUUAGGAAGAAACGUACAGAGGCUAGGAAGUCCUACUAUCAAUAGGAAACAAGAAGGAAUUCGGAGGGUUCCAUCUUUUGGAUUCUUUUCUCUUCUUAUUAGGUUAGAAGACUAGUCACGGGGGAUAGAUGGAAUUAGAGGCUGAAUAGCCGCAGGACUGAGUUUUUUACUUUCGACAGUAUCAUGUUGGGAAUUUCCUCAACAAUGAAGAACUGAAUUCUUAUUUUCUAGUCAAGGGGACAAUUGACGAUUUGGUUCGACAA
This is a long non-coding RNA of Coffea arabica (coffee), 544 nucleotides long. RefSeq lists it as uncharacterized. NCBI's taxonomy places the organism in Eukaryota, Viridiplantae, Streptophyta, Magnoliopsida, Gentianales, Rubiaceae. The record is from RefSeq and is a predicted model, not a curated record.